This is an RNA transcript of Ricinus communis (castor bean), 2347 nucleotides long. It is a transcript of the gene named probable 3-deoxy-D-manno-octulosonic acid transferase, mitochondrial, with no coding region annotated. NCBI's taxonomy places the organism in Eukaryota, Viridiplantae, Streptophyta, Magnoliopsida, Malpighiales, Euphorbiaceae. The record is from RefSeq and is a predicted model, not a curated record. The transcript is spliced from 14 exons.
UUGUCAAAAAUUCAUCGCUGCCGUCUACGGAGGCGAUAAGCCGAAAAUUAGUUAGAAAUCAAAAGCGACCAGCGAGGGCGGAAAAAGACGAAGAGAAAUGGAUGCUACUGCUGCUAGAAACAGAGGAAUGCUACUUUACAAAAUAUACAGAGCGUUCACCUAUGCUGUAACACCACUAGUGCGCCUUCACAUGCAAUGGCGCCGGCUCCUUGGCCUUGAACAUCCUAACCGUUGGCCGGAGCGUUUUGGAUGGCCCUCCGUCCCUAGGCCUUCCGGUCGUCUUCUGUGGUUCCACGCCGUCUCUUUAGGUGAAGGAAUGGCGGCCAUUCCUGUGAUUAAACGGUGCGUUGAAUGCAGGCCUGACUUAAGUAUACUGAUGACAACUACGACUUUGUCUGCAUUUGAAGUUAUAAAGAAUCAGCUUCCAAAUGGUGUCUUAUAUCAGUUUUCCCCUCUUGAUACACCUGCUGCUGUGGACAAUUUCCUUGACUACUGGAAGCCAAAUGCAAUUGUGAUACUGGAGAGCGAACUAUGGCCAAAUCUUAUAAUGGGUUCAUCAAGAAAGGGUAUUUUGCUGGCAUUGUUAAAUGCUCGAGUAUCUAUGAAAUCCUUCAGAUUAUGGUCACAACCAGUCCUCCUUCCACUGAUUUCACUGAUGCUUUCUAAAUUUUCCUUGAUUAUUCCUCUGAGUACGUUGCAGGCAAUUCACUUCCAGAUUCUGCAGGCCCCACCUGCUAUCAUUAAUUUUUCUGGAGAUCUGAAAUAUGCUGUAGAAUAUGAUGCUUCUAAUGGAGAGACAGGAAGCAUAGAUGAUCUGAAGGGAGAGCUUACUCACAGGCAGGUUUGGAUGGCUGCUUCAAUACAUAGAGGUGAAGAACAAGUUGUUCUGGAAGCUCAUGAAGCACUCAUACAAAAAUACCCGGAUCUGGUCACUAUAAUUGUACCUCGAUAUGGUCAACAUGGGCAGGACAUUGCUCAAGAAUUGCAGAAGGAAGGGAAUAUUGUAGCUUUGAGGUCUCAGCGUCAAAGGAUUGUGCCAGGAACACAGUUUUAUGUGGUGGACACAAUAGGUGAACUGAGACAUCUGUAUGGGCUAUCCCCGAUUGCUGUAAUUGGAGGUUCCUUCUUGCCUGGUUUAGCUGGUCAUAACAUAUCAGAAGCUGCAGCAGCUGGCUGUGCAGUUCUUACCGGUUAUCACGUCGGUCAUUUCUUGCACAUGGUAAAGGAAAUGCAGGCAUUAAAUCCUUUAUCAGUUAUGCAGGUAUCUGGGACCUUAGAACUUCAAGGAGCUAUUAUGAAACUAUUUGGUGAUCCCAAAGUUCUAGAAGCAAGGCGCAUGGCUGCAAAGCAAGCAUUUUGUGCUUUGUCCACUGAUAUCAUUUCCAAUGUCUGGAACCACCUAAACUUUUAUAUUCUUGAGACUGUCGCGAGAAAGUAGAUGAAGAGUGGCACAGAGUAAAUUGAAUUCUGACACUAGAUUUGGAACUCGAAGAACACAUCUUGUUAUUUGAAAGAGAUUGCAGAAGAGCUAAAGAUGAUACAUCCAACUCUCGCGGGAAAAACGACUGCCUCUAUACUGCCUGAUGCUAAGUUGUUAUGCCCUUUCAAAGAGAAGGAUAAUUGCAAUUCCUGAUGCCACUUCUACCAGAACUACUCCAGCUGUUGCUCUAGCAUGUAAAUCACUGCAAACUCUUGAAAAAGUGGUGAUGAAUCCUCCUCAGAGCAAGAGAAGUGGCAUACAUCUGCAUCACCUCUGAUCAAAUGGAUUAUGUCUUGAAAGAGAAGCUCAUGACACGGUAUAGCCAGAAGACCAUUUCUGUUGUGGCUGUAAUGACAAAUCUGAGAAUUGGAUUGUUCAAAUAAUCUGCUCUAAUGACAAAUCUUUUGCCGGCUUCACCUACUAUGCCUGCUAUAUGACCACGAGGGACAUCCUAUGGCAGUUUCUUCUCAAAUCCUCCAGCUAACUUUCACCGCAUUCAGCUUCACAAUGUUGCAGAUUUUAAGGUGCUAUCAUGAAGUGAUGCUCCAGAGGAUAUUCUCAAGGAGUUGGCUGUUAAUGGCUUAAGAGAAAGAUGAGGGUGUACUUGUGGACCUGAGAUCUUCUCCAGUUAUGUCCUCCACAAUUAAUGAUUUUAGUUGUAAGAGUCACCCAUGUGAAAUAGUAAGUUCCAACCUUUUCAGAUAACGAACAUGAAUUUCCUGAUUGCUAUCAAGGUUUGUGAAACAUAAGAGUCUUCUGCCCAAUUGUUUACCUUUCCCAUGUCUUGGUUUCUUCUUUGAAGUAGUAAAGCUCUGUCCUUGAAUAUAAUGAACAAAUUAACUUAAUUGCAGCCUAAGUUCCUCGGCC